GGAGUCUUAGUUCCACUAAUCAGGAGGUGUAGAAGGAGUCAUAGUUCCACUAAUCAGGAGGUGUAGAAGGAGUUAUAGUACCACUAAUCAGGAGGUGUAGAAGGAGUUAUAGUACCACUAAUCAGGAGGUCUAGAAGGAGUCAUAGUACCACUAAUCAGGAGGUGUAGAAGGAGUCAUAGUACCACUAAUCAGGAGGUGUAGAAGGAGUCAUAGUACCACUAAUCAGGAGGUCUAGAAGGAGUCAUAGUACCACUAAUCAGGAGGUCUAGAAGGAGUCUUAGUACCACUAAUCAGGAGGUCUAGAAGGAGUCAUAGUUCCACUAAUCAGGAGGUGUAGAAGGAGUUAUAGUACCACUAAUCAGGAGGUGUAGAAGGAGUCAUAGUUCCACUAAUCAGGAGGUGUAGAAGGAGUCAUAGUUCCACUAAUCAGGAGGUGUAGAAGGAGUCAUAGUUCCACUAAUCAGGAGGUGUAGAAGGAGUCAUAGUUCCACUAAUCAGGAGGUGUAGAAGGAGUCUUAGUACCACUAAUCAGGAGGUCUAGAAGGAGUCAUAGUUCCACUAAUCAGGAGGUGUAGAAGGAGUUAUAGUACCACUAAUCAGGAGGUGUAGAAGGAGUCAUAGUACCACUAAUCAGGAGGUGUAGAAGGAGUCAUAGUACCACUAAUCAGGAGGUGUAGAAGGAGUCAUAG
Long non-coding RNA from Acanthochromis polyacanthus (spiny chromis), 690 nucleotides. RefSeq lists it as uncharacterized. Lineage: Eukaryota; Metazoa; Chordata; Actinopteri; Pomacentridae. The transcript has 5 exons. The record is from RefSeq and is a predicted model, not a curated record.